GAUGAACGCUGACAGAAUGCUUAGCACAUGCAAGUCAACUUGAACUUCGGUUUGGGUGGCGGACGGGUGAGUAACGCGUAAAGAACUUGCCUCACAGUUAGGGACAACAUUUGGAAACGAAUGCUAAUACCUGAUAUUAUGAUUUUAGGGCAUCCUAGAAUUAUGAAAGCUAUAUGCGCUGUGAGAGAGCUUUGCGUCCCAUUAGCUAGUUGGAGAGGUAACGGCUCACCAAGGCGAUGAUGGGUAGCCGGCCUGAGAGGGUGAACGGCCACAAGGGGACUGAGACACGGCCCUUACUCCUACGGGAGGCAGCAGUGGGGAAUAUUGGACAAUGGACCAAGAGUCUGAUCCAGCAAUUCUGUGUGCACGAUGAAGUUUUUCGGAAUGUAAAGUGCUUUCAGUUGGGAAGAAAAAAAUGACGAUACCAACAGAAGAAGUGACGGCUAAAUACGUG
Molecule: ribosomal RNA, 454 nt
Filed under: uncultured bacterium
Lineage: Bacteria
Description: partial 16S ribosomal RNA
Rfam family: Bacterial small subunit ribosomal RNA
Source: RNAcentral